RNAcentral lists this ribosomal RNA (244 nucleotides) under uncultured bacterium. RNAcentral's name for it is "partial 16S ribosomal RNA". It matches the Rfam family "Bacterial small subunit ribosomal RNA", at positions 107 to 353 of the family's 1533-position model. The record is from RNAcentral.
UGAGUAAUGUCUGGGAAACUGCCUGAUGGAGGGGGAUAACUACUGGAAACGGUAGCUAAUACCGCAUAACGUCGCAAGACCAAAGAGGGGGACCUUCGGGCCUCUUGCCAUCGGAUGUGCCCAGAUGGGAUUAGCUAGUAGGUGGGGUAAGGCUCACCUAGGCGACGAUCCCUAGCUGGUCUGAGAGGAUGACCAGCCACACUGGAACUGAGACACGGUCCAGACUCCUACGGGAGGCAGCAUG